GUGUGUUACAAGUGUCACACGGAACUGCCGGUCAUAAACCGGAGGAAGGUGGGGAUGACGUCAAGUCAGCAUGGCCUUUAUAUCCUGGGCUACACACACGCUACAAUGGGAAGGGACAAUAGGUUGCGAAGCCGCGAGGCGGAGCCAAUCCAGCAAAACUUCCCUCAGUUCAGAUUGCAGGCUGCAACUCGCCUGCAUGAAGUUGGAGUUGCUAGUAAACGCAGGUCAGCCAUACUGCGUUGAAUACGUUCCCGGGGGCUU
This 261-nucleotide ribosomal RNA is filed under the name uncultured Anaerolineaceae bacterium. Its description in RNAcentral is "partial 16S ribosomal RNA". It matches the Rfam family "Bacterial small subunit ribosomal RNA", at positions 1110 to 1378 of the family's 1533-position model. The record is from RNAcentral. Lineage: Bacteria; Bacillati; Chloroflexota; Anaerolineae; Anaerolineales; Anaerolineaceae.